CCUACGGGAGGCAGCAGUGGGGAAUAUUGCACAAUGGGGGGAACCCUGAUGCAGCAAUGCCGCGUGGGUGAAGAAGCACUCCGGUGCGUAAAGCCCUGUCAGCAGGGAAGAACAUGACAGUACCUGACCAAGAAGACACGGCUAACUACGUGCCAGCAGCCGCGGGAAUACGUAGGGGGCAAGCGUUAUCCGGAUUACCUGGGUGGAAAGGGAGCGCAGGCUGUAUGGCAAGUCAGAUGUGAAAACCCAGGGCCCAACCCUGGGACUGCAUUUGAAACUGCCAUACUGGAGUGCCGGAGAGGUAAGUGGAAUUCCUAGUGUAGCGGUGAAAUGCGUAGAUAUUAGGAGGAACACCAGUGGCGAAGGCGACUAUCUGGCACAUAACUGACGCUGAGGAGCGAAAGCGUGGGGAGCAAACAGGAUUAGAUACUCCAGUAGUC
RNAcentral lists this ribosomal RNA (440 nucleotides) under uncultured bacterium. Its description in RNAcentral is "partial 16S ribosomal RNA". It matches the Rfam family "Bacterial small subunit ribosomal RNA", at positions 338 to 795 of the family's 1533-position model. The record is from RNAcentral.